Molecule: ribosomal RNA, 392 nt
Filed under: uncultured bacterium
Lineage: Bacteria
Description: bacterial SSU rRNA
Rfam family: Bacterial small subunit ribosomal RNA
Source: RNAcentral
AGUGAACGCUGGCGGCAGGCCUAACACAUGCAAGUCGAGCGGCAGCGGGUCCCCGCGAGGGGAUGCCGGCGAGCGGCGGACGGGUGAGGAACACAUCGGAAUCUGCCUGGUUGUGGGGGAUAACGUAGGGAAACUUACGCUAAUACCGCAUGCGACCCUGAGUCGACGGACUGGGGGUGAAAGUGAGGGACCUUCGGGCCUCACGCGACCAGAUGAGCCGAUGUCGGAUUAGCUAGUUGGCGGGGUAACGGCCCGCCAAGGCGACGAUCCGUAGCUGGUCUGAGAGGAUGAUCAGCCACACUGGGACUGAGACACGGCCCAGACUCUACGGGAGGCAGCAGUGGGAAUCUUGGACAAUGGGCGCAAGCCUGAUCCAGCCAUGCCGCGUGGGU